CCUACGGGAGGCAGCAGUGGGGAAUAUUGGGCAAUGGAGGCAACUCUGACCCAGCAACGCCGCGUGAAUGAUGAAGGUCUUCGGAUUGUAAAGUUCUGUGAUGGGGGAUGAACACAAUGACGGUACCCCAAUAGCAAGCCACGGCUAACUACGUGCCAGCAGCAGCGGUAAUACGUAGGUGGCAAGCGUUAUCCGGAAUGACUGGGCGUAAAGGGUGCGUAGGUGGUUUAGUAAGUUGGCGGUGUAAUUCCGGGGCUCAACCUCGGCGCUACCGCCAAAACUAUUAGACUAGAGUGCAGGGGGGGUGAGUGGAAUUCCUAGUGUAGCGGUGGAAUGCGUAGAUAUUAGGAGGAACAUCAGGGGCGAAGGCGACUUACUGGACUGUAACUGACACUGAGGCACGAAAGCGUGGGGAGCAAACAGGAUUAGAUACCCCUGUAGUC
This 443-nucleotide ribosomal RNA is filed under the name uncultured bacterium. RNAcentral's name for it is "partial 16S ribosomal RNA". It matches the Rfam family "Bacterial small subunit ribosomal RNA", at positions 338 to 795 of the family's 1533-position model. The record is from RNAcentral.